CUUGCUCUGGUUGAUCAGUGGCGAACGGGUGAGUAACACGUGAGUAACCUGCCCCUGACUCUGGGAUAACUUCGGGAAAUCGGAGCUAAUACCGGAUAUGAGACGUCCUCGCAUGGGGAGCGUCUGGAAAGAUUUAUCGGUCUGGGAUGGACUCGCGGCCUAUCAGCUUGUUGGUGAGGUAAUGGCUCACCAAGGCGACGACGGGUAGCCGGCCUGAGAGGGCGACCGGCCACACUGGGACUGAGAUACGGCCCAGACUCCUACGGGAGGCAGCAGUGGGGAAUAUUGCACAAUGGGCGAAAGCCUGAUGCAGCGACGCCGCGUGAGGGAUGAAGGCCUUCGGGUUGUAAACCUCUUUCAGCAGGGAAGAAGCGAAAGUGACGGUACCUGCAGAAGAAGCGCCGGCUAACUACGUGCCAGCAGCCGCGGUAAUACGUAGGGCGCAAGCGUUGUCCGGAAUUAUUGGGCGUAAAGAGCUCGUAGGCGGUUUGUCGCGUCUGCUGUGAAAACUCGAGGCUCAACCUCGGGCUUGCAGUGGGUACGGGCAGACUAGAGUGCGGUAGGGGAGACUGGAAUUCCUGGUGUAGCGGUGGAAUGCGCAGAUAUCAGGAGGAACACCGAUGGCGAAGGCAGGUCUCUGGGCCGCAACUGACGCUGAGGAGCGAAAGCAUGGGGAGCGAACAGGAUUAGAUACCCUGGUAGUCCAUGCCGUAAACGUUGGGCACUAGGUGUGGGGCUCAUUCCACGAGUUC
This 752-nucleotide ribosomal RNA is filed under the name Actinotalea sp. Its description in RNAcentral is "bacterial SSU rRNA". It matches the Rfam family "Bacterial small subunit ribosomal RNA", at positions 79 to 841 of the family's 1533-position model. Lineage: Bacteria; Bacillati; Actinomycetota; Actinomycetes; Micrococcales; Cellulomonadaceae. The record is from RNAcentral.